RNAcentral lists this transfer RNA (75 nucleotides) under Candidatus Kaiserbacteria bacterium. Its description in RNAcentral is "tRNA-Pro". It matches the Rfam family "tRNA". Rfam says of the family: Transfer RNA (tRNA) molecules are approximately 80 nucleotides in length. Their secondary structure includes four short double-helical elements and three loops (D, anti-codon, and T loops). Further hydrogen bonds mediate the characteristic L-shaped molecular structure. tRNAs have two regions of fundamental functional importance: the anti-codon, which is responsible for specific mRNA codon recognition, and the 3' end, to which the tRNAs corresponding amino acid is attached (by aminoacyl-tRNA synthetases). tRNAs cope with the degeneracy of the genetic code in two manners: having more than one tRNA (with a specific anti-codon) for a particular amino acid; and 'wobble' base-pairing, i.e. permitting non-standard base-pairing at the 3rd anti-codon position. The record is from RNAcentral. Lineage: Bacteria; Candidatus Kaiseribacteriota.
CGGAGAGUGGUGUAACGGUAACAUACACGAUUCGGGUUCGUGUGACUCCGGGUUCGAUUCCCGGCUCUCCGACCA